This 464-nucleotide ribosomal RNA is filed under the name uncultured bacterium. RNAcentral's name for it is "partial 16S ribosomal RNA". It matches the Rfam family "Bacterial small subunit ribosomal RNA", at positions 28 to 507 of the family's 1533-position model. The record is from RNAcentral.
GACGAACGCUGGCGGCGUGCUUAACACAUGCAAGUCGAACGGUAAGGCCCCUUCGGGGUUACACGAGUGGCGAACGGUUGAGUAACACGUGAGCAACCUGCCCUUGACUUUGGGAUACCAGCUGGAAACAGCUGCUAAUACCGGAUAUGACCUCUUCUCUCAUGGGGUGAGGUGGAAAGCUCCGGCGGUCAGGGAUGGGCUCGCGGCCUAUCAGCUUGUUGGUGAGGUAAUGGCUCACCAAGGCUUCGACGGGUAGCCGGCCUGAGAGGGCGACCGGCCACACUGGGACUGAGAUACGGCCCAGACUCCUACGGGAGGCAGCAGUGGGGAAUAUUGCACAAUGGGCGCAAGCCUGAUGCAGCAACGCCGCGUGCGGGAUGACGGCCUUCGGGUUGUAAACCGCUUUCAGUAGGGACGAAGCUAACGUGACGGUACCUACAGAAGAAGGACCGGCUAACUACGUG